AAUCAAAAGCGCCGUAGGCCUCCACCUCGGCUUUACAGAUAUAUAUAUAUAUAUCGUGUAUAUAUCUGUGCGAUCGGGAUUGAGACUGAGGUUGGUCCGAGUACUUU
This is a non-coding RNA of Drosophila melanogaster (fruit fly), 107 nucleotides long. Lineage: Eukaryota; Metazoa; Arthropoda; Insecta; Diptera; Drosophilidae. The record is from Ensembl.